Small nucleolar RNA from Arvicanthis niloticus (Nile rat), 132 nucleotides. RefSeq annotates it as small nucleolar RNA SNORA17. The record is from RefSeq and is a predicted model, not a curated record. Lineage: Eukaryota; Metazoa; Chordata; Mammalia; Rodentia; Muridae.
GCUGCCUCUAGAAAUAUUACAGGUGUGGCUAUUGUGUGACUUUUGCAACCAUAGGUGGCAGAGAGGAGAAAGGCAAUGUCCAUACUUAGUAAUGUGAUCUAUGAACAUCUGAAUGAUUAGUAGCCUAACAUU